CCUGGCAUAGUAUGAGUCUCCUUAUUGCCAGCGUUUAUCUUUUGGAGAGAGAACCCUGAGAAAACUAACGAAACCAACCAACGAUGAGUGCCAACCAGAAAGCUAACAAGAGUUCUACGGAAAAGUUUCACCAGAAAGCUAAUAGGAUGUCUUUCGAUUAAUUGUUCAAGAACGGUCGCCGUGAAGACUAUAAAUAUUCUGAAGCUCACAGGGAUCGUAUGAGAGAUAUUUUGAAGAAUCCGACAAUUUUUUCCCAGGAUGAUAAGAUAAACACGCUAUUCAUAAAGAACUCGUGAUAUAGAUUUUUAGAUAAAUAUUAUAAUUUUUGAGAUAUCUCAAUUUGAAGUUUUAGAAUUUGGUAGUGCUUUGAUGAUAUCUUGUCUUUCUUUUUUCCAGGAAUUUGAGACGACUGGUUGGUCUCGAUAAUGAGACUCGACGAAUUUAUCUGAAUGCCUCUUACAAGAAAUUGAGAGCAAAAAUACCACUACUGCAGAUGAAAACCGAAAUGUCAGAUUUUUUAAUAAAAUCUCCUGACGCCCUCCCAGAGGAUAUUAAGAACCGGAUGCUGCAAAAAUUACUAAGUGAUGAUGAUGACGACAAACGCCUACAAGGUGUCAAAAGAGAAAAACGUAGCGCACUUGCUAAACUCCAAAGGCUAAGAGUUGAUAUUUCCCAGUACCACGAUAGUUAUCAAUACUCCAAAUUCGUCAAUCAUCUGCCAACUCAAGCCACAAUGGACCAGUACAUGAUGUUGGAGAAGGAAGUAACUAGGACGUCCGACAAAAUGGUUCAGCUGUUGGAAGAUGUGCAUCCAUACUUGUGUAUCUAGAAGAUGUAAAACGUCACACUGAAAUUAUGAUUUAUGAAAAAGGGAUUUAACUACCGGUGCAUUAUUCGGACAACAAUAUGUUUAUUUUAUGUUUCAUACAAUAUAAUAUAAGUUUGUUUCGUGAACUUCA
Papaver somniferum (opium poppy) is the source of this 959-nucleotide long non-coding RNA. RefSeq lists it as uncharacterized. The transcript has 4 exons. NCBI's taxonomy places the organism in Eukaryota, Viridiplantae, Streptophyta, Magnoliopsida, Ranunculales, Papaveraceae. The record is from RefSeq and is a predicted model, not a curated record.